UAACACAUGCAAGUCGAACGAAGUAGCAAUACUUAGUGGCAGACGGGUGAGUAACAUGUAGGUAUCUACCCUUUGGCCUGGAAUAACACGAGGAAACUUGUGCUAAUACCGGAUAAGUCUUUACGGAGAAAGCUUUAUGCACCAUUGGAGGAGCCUGCACUUGAUUAGUUUGUUGGUGGGGUAAUGGCCUACCAAGACUUUGAUCAAUAGCUGAUUUGAGAGGAUGAUCAGCCACAUUGGGACUGAGACACGGCCCAAACUCCUACGGGAGGCAGCAGUGGGGAAUCUUGCACAAUGGAGGAAACUCUGAUGCAGCGAUGCCGCGUGAGUGAAGAAGGCCUUUGGGUUGUAAAGCUCUUUCGUCGGGGAAGAAAAUGACUGUACCCGAAUAAGAAGGUCCGGCUAACUUCGUGCCAGCAGCCGCGGUAAUACGAAGGGACCUAGCGUAGUUCGGAUUUACUGGGCUUAAAGAGUUCGUAGGUGGUUGAAAAAGUUGGUGGUGAAAUCCCAGAGCUUAACUCUGGAACUGCCAUCAAAACUUUUCAGCUAGAGUAUGAUAGAGGAAAGCAGAAUUUCUAGUGUAGAGGUGAAAUUCGUAGAUAUUAGAAAGAAUACCAAUUGCGAAGGCAGCUUUCUGGAUCAUUACUGACACUGAGGAACGAAAGCAUGGGUAGCGAAGAGGAUUAGAUACCCUCGUAGUCCAUGCCGUAAACGAUGUGUGUUAGACGUUGGAAAUUUAUUUUCAGUGUCGCAGCGAAAGCGAUAAACACACCGCCUGGGGAGUACGACCGCAAGGUUAAAACUCAAAUGAAUUGACGGGGACCCGCACAAGUAGUGGAGCAUGUGGUUUAAUUCGAAGAUACGCGCAGAACCUUACCAACACUUGACAUGUUCGUCGCGACUCUAAGAGAUUAGAGUUUUCGGUUCGGCCGGACGAAACACAGGUGCUGCAUGGCUGUCGUCAGCUCGUGUCGUGAGAUGUUGGGUUAAGUCCCGCAACGAGCGCAACCCUCACUUUUAGUUGCCAUCAUUAAGUUGGGCACUCUGAAAGAACUGCCAGUGAUAAGCUGGAGGAAGGUGGGGAUGACGUCAAGUCCUCAUGGCCCUUACGUGUUGGGCUACACACGUGCUACAAUGGUAUCUACAACAGGAAGCAAGACUGCGAGGUCAAGCAAAUCCUUAAAAGAUACCUCAGUUCGGAUUGCACUCUGCAACUCGAGUGCAUGAAGCUGGAAUUACUAGUAAUCGUGGAUCAGCGUGCCACGGUGAAUGCGUUCCCGGGUCUUGUACACACCGCCCGUCACACCAUGGGAGUUGGUUCUACCUUAAGGCAAGGUUUUAAACCCUUCACCACGGUAUAGUCAGCGACUGGGGUG
RNAcentral lists this ribosomal RNA (1376 nucleotides) under uncultured Pelagibacterales bacterium. Its description in RNAcentral is "bacterial SSU rRNA". It matches the Rfam family "Bacterial small subunit ribosomal RNA". Lineage: Bacteria; Pseudomonadati; Pseudomonadota; Alphaproteobacteria; Candidatus Pelagibacterales. The record is from RNAcentral.